This 253-nucleotide ribosomal RNA is filed under the name uncultured bacterium. RNAcentral's name for it is "partial 16S ribosomal RNA". It matches the Rfam family "Bacterial small subunit ribosomal RNA", at positions 524 to 776 of the family's 1533-position model. The record is from RNAcentral.
UACGAAGGGGGCUAGCGUUGUCCGGAAUCAUUGGGCGUAAAGCGCGUGUAGGCGGUCCGGUAAGUCCGCUGUGAAAGUCGGGGGCUCAACCCUCGGAUGCCGGUGGAUACUGUCGGGCUUGAGUACGGAAGAGGCGAGUGGAAUUCCUGGUGUAGCGGUGAAAUUCGUAGAUAUUAGGAAGAACACCAGUGGCGAAGGCGGCUCACUGGUCCGGUACUGACGCUGAGGUGCGAAAGCGUGGGGAGCAAACAGG